UACGGAGGGUGCAAGCAUUGAUCGGAAUUACUGGGCGUAAAGGGCGCGUAGGCGGACUGGCAAGUCAGAUGUGAAAUUCCGCGGCUCAACUGCGGAGCUGCAUUUGAAACUGCCAGACUCGAGCAUAGUUAGGGAAAACGGAAUUCCACGUGUAGCGGUGAAAUGCGUAGAUAUGUGGAAGAACACCGGUGGUGAAGACGGUUUUCUGGGCUAUUGCUGACGCUGAGGCGCGAAAGCUAGGGGAGCAAACAGG
RNAcentral lists this ribosomal RNA (253 nucleotides) under uncultured bacterium. RNAcentral's name for it is "partial 16S ribosomal RNA". It matches the Rfam family "Bacterial small subunit ribosomal RNA", at positions 524 to 776 of the family's 1533-position model. The record is from RNAcentral.